CGUACGAUUCCGUCUAUUUGUCAACGAACAAGUCAGUUUCGCAAUUGACUUUUUUAACUUUUUUUUGGAACGCAGACUUCCCCAGCAGUCUACAUCCUUACCUUUGACUACAAAAACAAAAAUCUACGUAGACCUACCAAGACGGCUACGAAAAAGAGGAAAUGACUCAAUUACCGGCCGUAUACGGAGAAUGGGUGGAGAAAGGCUCAUUGUGGGAGUUUGUGGUCAAUAAAAAAAAGGGAGGGAGAAUGUUCCCUUUGAAAGAUGGUUGUACACAUGUUGAACUUCUUCAAAUGGUACAAGAAGAUUAUGAUCUAGACUAAAAACAUAUUGGUUAAGUGUGUUGAGUGAUUUGUAACACACACUUUCAACGAUUAUUGGGUAACAAUGUUUUUUUUCUUUCAAACAUAUGCAGCGUGGGUUUGAAGUUUUCUUUAAUAAUCGUUGAAAGUGUGUGUUACAAUAUGUUACAAACUAAGACAUUUGUUUGAAAGUGUGUGUUAGUUAACCCUAAUGGGUUUGAGUGA
Raphanus sativus (radish) is the source of this 527-nucleotide long non-coding RNA. RefSeq lists it as uncharacterized. The transcript is spliced from 2 exons. The record is from RefSeq and is a predicted model, not a curated record. NCBI's taxonomy places the organism in Eukaryota, Viridiplantae, Streptophyta, Magnoliopsida, Brassicales, Brassicaceae.